ACGCUGGCGGCAGGCCUAACACAUGCAAGUCGAGCGGUAGAGAGAAGCUUGCUUCUCUUGAGAGCGGCGGACGGGUGAGUAAUGCCUAGGAAUCUGCCUGGUAGUGGGGGAUAACGUUCGGAAACGGACGCUAAUACCGCAUACGUCCUACGGGAGAAAGCAGGGGACCUUCGGGCCUUGCGCUAUCAGAUGAGCCUAGGUCGGAUUAGCUAGUUGGUGGGGUAAUGGCUCACCAAGGCGACGAUCCGUAACUGGUCUGAGAGGAUGAUCAGUCACACUGGAACUGAGACACGGUCCAGACUCCUACGGGAGGCAGCAGUGGGGAAUAUUGGACAAUGGGCGAAAGCCUGAUCCAGCCAUGCCGCGUGUGUGAAGAAGGUCUUCGGAUUGUAAAGCACUUUAAGUUGGGAGGAAGGGCUGUAGAUUAAUACUCUGCAAUUUUGACGUUACCGACAGAAUAAGCACCGGCUAACUCUGUGCCAGCAGCCGCGGUAAUACAGAGGGUGCAAGCGUUAAUCGGAAUUACUGGGCGUAAAGCGCGCGUAGGUGGUUAGUUAAGUUGGAUGUGAAAUCCCCGGGCUCAACCUGGGAACUGCAUUCAAAACUGACUGACUAGAGUAUGGUAGAGGGUGGUGGAAUUUCCUGUGUAGCGGUGAAAUGCGUAGAUAUAGGAAGGAACACCAGUGGCGAAGGCGACCACCUGGACUGACACUGACACUGAGGUGCGAAAGCGUGGGGAGCAAAC
Molecule: ribosomal RNA, 745 nt
Filed under: uncultured bacterium
Lineage: Bacteria
Description: bacterial SSU rRNA
Rfam family: Bacterial small subunit ribosomal RNA
Source: RNAcentral